GGGGCCACUUUAAGGUGGCAGUCUGGGUGCACAACAUUUUCUUGUCUUCGAGGAAGGAGCAGAGGUGUUCAGAGCCCCCUGGACUGCCCUGAAAACCUCACUCUUCCAGGCCCCUCUGCAGACCCUUCUGAAGGCCAGAUCUCCAGGCAGUAGGCUGGGCUGUCACCCUCUUCUCUGAGACCCUACACCUGUCCUGAGACCUCCCCACUGUCCCUCAGAUGCCCCAUCCCUCCGGAUUCCCCACCUCCCCUGGGACCCUCCAGGCCCCACCUGCCUUACUUGACGCUGCAGCGCUCUCUGAACAUGGCGUGGCUGUGAAGGUUUGGCUCACAUCUAGGUCAUUCUGGUGCAUGUUCACUGAGGACAUCUUGGCCUGCUCCAUUUUGUAUACAGCAGGGCCAAGCCUCAGAACAGACACAAGAGUCACUGUCAAAACUGCUGUCAUAAAACAGCCGUUCUGCAAGGAAAGGGGGCUUUUUCUGCAGAUACUUCAUUUCCAUAGCCAGGGAAAGUCAGCAGCGUGCAGCUCACCUGUGUUCCCCACACCACUGUCUGCCCAGGAUGUGUGACUGAUCCCUUCCGCCCCCUUGGGGUUGACUUUCCCUCCAUCUGGGUAACUGGGCUUCUGACACAGUCUGGCCUAUGCAUCCUACUCUGGUUGGGUGUGGAAGGGCCAGACCUGGUGUUUCCUUGGGUUCUUGGCCUUUGUCUUCUCGACAUUCAGUAGGAGUGACUAUGCUGGGCCCCAGACCUCUGUAAGUAUUCAUUUGGAGACCCAAUAAGACAUCUAUGGACAGAAGAUGCUCUGGUGAGACAGACUUCAGGGUGACCCCAAGGGGGAUCCAAGUCUAAGGAUUCUGGAAGUUUCCAGUCUUUGGUUGCACAGUUCCUCAGGAGAGGUUCAGUCUGCCUAGGACUGGGCCUCUUCAUGAAAGGUGGGCAAGAGCUCAGGUUGUGAACUCUGAUCUGGAUUUAUUCCUUCCUAUGGGGUGUCCAGAAGGUGUUCCUGUUCCUGCCUUAGAAGCGGCCCAUGCCCAGGCAUCAGAUUCCUCCCAGCAAGGUGAUCCUUGCAGGGAUGGGCAGGAGGGCUAGGGACAAGGCCUGUUGUCCUUUUGGUGAGGAAAGUGUGCCCUGCCCUGUCUGAGAGGCAGGCAGCACCAGGAAGCAACAAUAGGCGCCUGUCCUAAACCCUGAAGAGCAGUCAUGGGGGACCCUCACUCACAGCUGCGCCUUCUUGUUGUACCUAGAUUUAUUCCAGUUAAGCAUUUAUAGGCAUUUAUCUGUAUGUCUGAUGCCCUGAUGUUUUUGCUGUCGGUAAGAAGUGAUGGAGUGAGCUGAGCUGCCAGGUUUCCUGGAGUGAUUCUUGGAUGCUGGGUCAUGUGGUUAGGGGUCCCGAUGGGACUGAACUGGAAGGAGCCAGAAUAGGACAGAACCAAGCCCCUGAUGAGUGGCCACUGGUGGCUUGGCCUUAUGACCAUAGGACACACUGUUCCCAGGGCACAGACACGCUGGGCUUUGGUUGGGUCUUGGCCUCCAGGUAGGGCCUGGUGGGCAGCGGGCAGCGACUCCUGAGACACUACUGUGAUUCUCGGUGGUGGCUGUGGUACAAAGCCUGCAGGGCUAGAGUUUGGAGUGAGAUUCAGCAGGAACUGUGGCCUCUCCCAGUGACGGUGUGUCACUCCCAUUCCCAGCACGCAUGCCCACAGGCCACAGCCUCCGCAUCACACACCCCCUGCCAAGUCGCCCAUCCAUGGAGCAGCCCCCAUACAGCAGGGUCAGGCUCUUACCUCCACCUCCAGGGCACAGACAGGGGCAGUUCUGUCUCACUGUAAGGCAAUGGAAGGAGAGCUGAGGACCUGGACCAGGCUGGGGGCCAGGUCUCAGCCCAGGAGCCUGCAUAGGGAAGAAAGGACAGACAAGGCCUCCGUGCUGGCUGACACUCAGGAGGGGCUGGGGCAAAGGAGCAGAAGGAGUACAAGAUCAGGCAGGGACUGCUCAGGAUCCAUGGGGGCUCGGGCUGCACAGUGGGGCUGCCCCUCCUGGGCUGCAGGCAGCGUCCCCUGUGGGAGCUGAGCAAGUCCAGUCCUGAGAUGGGACAGUGUUGCCCAGGGGUGUGUGGCUGGGCCCUGACAACAGUCUCCCCAAAAGUGACCACAUCACCCGGCUCAAUUCCAGGAAGGCUGAGAAGUGCCCAGUACACCUAGGAUGCACCUGGAGCCCAUCCUGUCUAAUAGACUCUGACCAUCGCACGUCCACCAGCCUCUCCUGCAUAUUGGCCACCACCCCUUCCCUUUUCCUCAUUUCUCCAUCGUGUCUGACCCAGAGACUGUGACCCUCUCUCCAGCCACAGUGGCCCUUCUUUUACCUUCAUCCUGUAAAAGCCCUUGAGCAAGACUCCUCUGAUCCAUGAACAUGCCUGCCUUGUCCACUUACUAAUUGGGCUGCUGUGCACUGCUGCUGUGGCACCAGAGGUGCUACUGAGCUUUGGGGACUGACCGAGGCUCCUCUGCUGAGGGGUCCCAAGUGAGUCGCUGCCCCUGGAUCUACGUCAUCCGCUGUCCUCUUCAGCACCAUCCACUCCACCCCAGGCCGGCUCCAUGCAGAUGCAUCCCCGAGUCACCAGUCUCAGGGUCCUCUGUUGUAGGAUGCAGAUUACUGUACCUGCUGUACACAUUUAUUAUGUGAAAUAAAUUAUAUAUAUAAUAUAUAAA
RNAcentral lists this long non-coding RNA (2711 nucleotides) under Macaca mulatta (Rhesus monkey). RNAcentral describes it as "lncRNA (ENSMMUG00000064998.1)". Lineage: Eukaryota; Metazoa; Chordata; Mammalia; Primates; Cercopithecidae. The record is from RNAcentral.